UACGUAGGGUGCAAGCGUUAAUCGGAAUUACUGGGCGUAAAGCGUGCGCAGGCGGCUUUGCAAGACAGAUGUGAAAUCCCCGGGCUUAACCUGGGAACUGCAUUUGUGACUGCAUGGCUGGAGUGCGGCAGAGGGGGAUGGAAUUCCGCGUGUAGCAGUGAAAUGCGUAGAUAUGCGGAGGAACACCGAUGGCGAAGGCAAUCCCCUGGGCCUGCACUGACGCUGAGGUGCGAAAGCGUGGGGAGCAAACAGG
Molecule: ribosomal RNA, 253 nt
Filed under: uncultured bacterium
Lineage: Bacteria
Description: partial 16S ribosomal RNA
Rfam family: Bacterial small subunit ribosomal RNA
Source: RNAcentral